Molecule: transfer RNA, 63 nt
Filed under: Salmonella enterica subsp. enterica serovar Enteritidis str. EC20121989
Lineage: Bacteria; Pseudomonadati; Pseudomonadota; Gammaproteobacteria; Enterobacterales; Enterobacteriaceae
Description: tRNA-Ala (TGC) (tRNA-Ala-TGC-2-1)
Rfam family: tRNA
About the family: Transfer RNA (tRNA) molecules are approximately 80 nucleotides in length.
Source: RNAcentral
NGCUGGGAGAGCGCCUGCUUUGCACGCAGGAGGUCUGCGGUUCGAUCCCGCAUAGCUCCACCA